CCCGCAACGAGCCUACCCAAUUUUCCUUACUUGCCAGCAUUUCGGAUGGGAACUUUAAGGAUACUGCCAGUGACAAACUGGAGGAAGGCGGUGAAAACAUCAAGUCAUCAUGGCCCUUACGGCCAGGGCUACACACGUGCUACAAUGGUCGGUACAAAGGGUUGCUACCUAGCGAUAGGAUGCUAAUCUAAAAAAGCCGAUCGUAGUCCGGAUUGGAGUCUGCAACUCGACUCCCUGAAGUCGGAAUCGCUAGUAAUCGCGGAUCAGAUGCCGCGGUGAAUACUUC
This 286-nucleotide ribosomal RNA is filed under the name Acinetobacter beijerinckii. Its description in RNAcentral is "partial 16S ribosomal RNA". It matches the Rfam family "Bacterial small subunit ribosomal RNA", at positions 1086 to 1369 of the family's 1533-position model. The record is from RNAcentral. Lineage: Bacteria; Pseudomonadati; Pseudomonadota; Gammaproteobacteria; Moraxellales; Moraxellaceae.